RNAcentral lists this ribosomal RNA (357 nucleotides) under uncultured bacterium. RNAcentral describes it as "partial 16S ribosomal RNA". It matches the Rfam family "Bacterial small subunit ribosomal RNA", at positions 338 to 692 of the family's 1533-position model. The record is from RNAcentral.
CCUACGGGUGGCAGCAGUGAGGAAUAUUGGUCAAUGGGCGCAAGCCUGAACCAGCCAAGCCGCGUGAGGGAUGACGGUCCUAUGGAUUGUAAACCUCUUUUGUCGGGGAGCAAGGCCCGCCACGUGUGGCGGGAAGGAGAGUACCCGAAGAAAAAGCAUCGGCUAACUCCGUGCCAGCAGCCGCGGUAAUACGGAGGAUGCGAGCGUUAUCCGGAUUUAUUGGGUGUAAAGGGUGGGUAGGCGGAAGUUUAAGUCAGCGGUGAAAUUUCGGGGCUCAACACCGGACUGGCGUUGAAACUGGUCGUCUUGAGUGAGCGAGAAGGAUGCGGAAUGCGUGGUGUAGCGGUGAAAUGCAUA